UUUUUAUUCAGCAAGGUAUCCUUCUUGUCAAAAUGCAUUUACAUAGAGCCCUGCAGCCUAUGCACUAAUAGCACCUCCCCCUGCUUCUGCCUCCUAGUGGGCUGUCUGAAGGAGGCUAUACAUAUGUAUUAAGUUAUUAAGCAGUGGUAUGGGUUCUCACAAGUUCAAACGCAGAGCAUGCUGUGCUUAUGCUCAAACGUCUCCAGGAGGGCCUGGAUUAAUAGAAAUGCAAAUGGAGCAUCUGCACAAGGCCAUAUGAUUAGAGCCUUCCCCCUCACACCUCAAAGUCAAAAGCAGAAAAACACUGCAUGUGAAAUACAACCAAAAAAAAAACCCAAAAAACCUGGUGAUAUAAUAUGCAAAGUCUGUUACCAAUUUCAACAGCAGUCAGCAAAACAUUGAGCCUCACCCCGCUUUAAGCACCGUUGCCCCUACCUUCUCAAAGGGAGGCUUAUCAGUGGACGAGGUACCCAAGAUGUGGAGAUGCAUUAAAAGGAAAAUAAUUCAGGUGAAGAACACCUGCUUGGCUGAGAACACCAUUAGAAGUUCCUUUUGUAUCCUUCAGCGCACUUCUACAGUGUUCCUGUCUUCACAAGGCUCUAAUUGGGGGAGAAAAACAAGUAAAGCGCAAAAAAAGGAAAGCCAGGAUCUUUUUCCCAGCUCACCCAUUCUAAACAGUUGCUGGUUUCCUGUGACCUUUUGGACCUACACUUCAGUUUCUUGUACACUACAAUUGAGCUUCCCUCUCCUUGCCUUGUUAUGAGCCAGCACAUGAUGGAUGAGCCCUCAGCAUGCCUCGAGGUGCAGCAGGAGCAGUGGAGGAAGUAAAGACAGCAGAUCUACUUCAGCAAAUUAGCAGCAACAGCAGGCUCUGUUGUGGCAGUUCUGUUGAAUGCCAUCAUUUUAACUGUUCACUAUGGAAUAGUUCCUAAAUGGCAUUUAUAUUUAAGUCAGUUUAUUAUAUUAUUCCAGCCAUGCAAAGCUGUACUACAAAUUUACCAGCUCAGGCACAAAAUCUAUUCACCCGCCCUUUUCCAAGUUGAUGAUAAUGGACCCCCCUCCUCCCCUUUCUUUCUUUCUUCCCUCAAAUGAUUAUAUUUUGCUUGCCCAUCAAAACAAAUCACUCAUCUUGGGUGAAUAAAAUUUUGCAAGGCUGCA
RNAcentral lists this long non-coding RNA (1158 nucleotides) under Coturnix japonica (Japanese quail). Its description in RNAcentral is "lncRNA (ENSCJPG00005008215.1)". The record is from RNAcentral. Lineage: Eukaryota; Metazoa; Chordata; Aves; Galliformes; Phasianidae.